Molecule: ribosomal RNA, 315 nt
Filed under: uncultured eukaryote
Lineage: Eukaryota
Description: partial large subunit ribosomal RNA
Rfam family: Eukaryotic large subunit ribosomal RNA
Source: RNAcentral
AUAUCAAUAAGCGGAGGAAAAGAAACUAACAAGGAUUCCCUUAGUAGCGGCGAGCGAAGCGGGAAGAGCUCAAAUUUGAAAGCUGGCGUCCUACGGGCGUCCGCAUUGUAAUCUAUAGAGGCGUUUUCUGUGCUGGACCGUGUCCAAGUCCCUUGGAACAGGGUAUCAAAGAGGGUGACAAUCCCGUCUUUGAGCCGGAGCUAAGCGCGUACGAGGAGUUUUCUAAGAGUCGCGUUGCUUGGGAGUGCAGCGCUAAAUGGGUGGUAAAGUUCAUCUAAAGCUAAAUACUGGCGAGAGACCGAUAGCGCACAAGUA